GAUGAACGCUGGCGGCGUGCUUAACACAUGCAAGUCGAACGGUGAAGCAGGAGCUUGCUCUUGUGGAUCAGUGGCGAACGGGUGAGUAACACGUGAGCAACCUGCCCCUGACUCUGGGAUAAGCGCUGGAAAUGGCGUCUAAUACUGGAUACGUGAUGUGACCGCAUGGUCUGCAUCUGGAAAGAAUUUCGGUUGGGGAUGGGCUCGCGGCCUAUCAGCUUGUGGGUGAGGUAAUGGCUCACCAAGGCGUCGACGGGUAGCCGGCCUGAGAGGGUGACCGGCCACACUGGGACUGAGACACGGCCCAGACUCCUACGGGAGGCAGCAGUGGGGAAUAUUGCACAAUGGGCGGAAGCCUGAUGCAGCAACGCCGCGUGAGGGAUGACGGCCUUCGGGUUGUAAACCUCUUUUAGCAGGGAAGAAGCGAAAGUGACGGUACCUGCAGAAAAAGCACCGGCUAACUACGUGCCAGCCGCCGCGGUAA
This 484-nucleotide ribosomal RNA is filed under the name uncultured bacterium. Its description in RNAcentral is "partial 16S ribosomal RNA". It matches the Rfam family "Bacterial small subunit ribosomal RNA", at positions 28 to 523 of the family's 1533-position model. The record is from RNAcentral.